UCUUCCCUCUUUCUUCGUGCUUAACACAUGCAAGUCGAACGGAAAGGCUCCUGCUUGCAGGGGUACUCGAGUGGCGAACGGGUGAGUAACACGUGGGUGAUCUGCCCUGCACUUCGGGAUAAGCCUGGGAAACUGGGUCUAAUACCGGAUAGGACCACAUUUUGGAUGGUGUGGUGGAAAGUUUUUCGGUGUGGGAUGAGCUCGCGGCCUAUCAGCUUGUUGGUGGGGUAAUGGCCUACCAAGGCGUCGACGGGUAGCCGGCCUGAGAGGGUGUACGGCCACAUUGGGACUGAGAUACGGCCCAGACUCCUACGGGAGGCAGCAGUGGGGAAUAUUGCACAAUGGGCGCAAGCCUGAUGCAGCGACGCCGCGUGGGGGAUGACGGCCUUCGGGUUGUAAACUCCUUUCGCUAGGGACGAAGCGCAAGUGACGGUACCUGGAGAAGAAGCACCGGCUAACUACGUG
This 465-nucleotide ribosomal RNA is filed under the name uncultured bacterium. Its description in RNAcentral is "partial 16S ribosomal RNA". It matches the Rfam family "Bacterial small subunit ribosomal RNA", at positions 36 to 507 of the family's 1533-position model. The record is from RNAcentral.